Long non-coding RNA from Callithrix jacchus (white-tufted-ear marmoset), 2303 nucleotides. The record is from Ensembl. Lineage: Eukaryota; Metazoa; Chordata; Mammalia; Primates; Cebidae.
CUGUUAAUAACUCCAGCAGAUGUUUCAGCUUUUUAGGCCAAUAGACUCCCUCUCUCCCUGCCCUCCCCUUUCCAGAAUCCGAUGCCAAUAUGACUGAACUCCAGUUUUUGUGGUUGUCGUCACCACUGCCGCUGCUGCUAGGGCUGGUGAUACAAUGCCGCUGAGGAAUGAUCCUUUAAACAACCACUGGCAACAGAACCUCAGCCCUUUAAGCAGAGCAGUGCUCAAGGAAUGUUUACAGCUAAGGAGGCUCCAUGGAGGAUUGCCUAAAGGACAUGAAGUCCAUCCAUCUCUCCAGAUAGUUUAGAUUAUAUCUCAAGAUCAAGAGAGUUAUCCAUGUUACAGAUGUGGAAGCUGAGAUUCAAAGAUGACACAGGUGGCAAUGCUGGCCAUCAAGCUAAAGCAUCAUACCAUGCUGGCCUCUUCCUGAAAGUAAGUCUUGCCUGAAUUAGCAUAAAAAGUGACUCAAGGUCACUUUUGAGUAUGGAAAGUGACUCAAGGUGAAGGGAGGAUGUAUCAUUUCCUUCUGUCUUUUGUCACCGUUGUUGUCGUUGAGAUGGCAGCUACUGCCCAUCAUAUUUGCUAAAGGGGAAAAGUGAUUACCAAACUUCUCCUGGUUUUAAGGGUGAAGUUAAGUAACUGGAAUAAAAUAAAAAGAGAGGAAGCAACUAGAAGAAUACAAACUGAGUAUGCAGAGCCAAAAAGGAGUAAUCAGCAGAGGAAUGUUGCUGGGUAAUACGCUUUGAAAAUUCCAUAUCAACACCAUAUACGUUGGCUAAAAUCCAAACAUAUAAUCUAAGCAAGGCCCUCUAAAUUCCUUAUGUUUAACAGAGAACCAGCUGGAGGCCGCCCUAUUCUUUAAGAAAGAGGAGGAAUGAAUAGAUUCCUCAGUCUGAUAGAGCUGAGAAAGCCAUCUCCUAGGCUCUUGCAUCACUUGUGUUAAUAUGCAGGUCCUCAGAACUGCAGCUUUCUCAACUCAGUCCUAUCUUAUGAGCAUUAUCCUGAAAUGUUCUCCUCUGUUCCUCUCUGGGAAUCUGCAGACAGUUCAUGUGGAAGUCUCUCUCCUAGUCUGAAGGAAUUAAAUAGAAUAUUAUAAUUACUCAGAGUUUAAUAUAAGCUACAACUGUUUUUGCUGGCUUGGCGUUUAAAGAUGCAAAUGUUCCAAUCUCCUAGAAACAUGACAUUAUAAAAGGGACUACCGUAAUUAGGAAUAAAACUGUUCAGUCCUCAUUAACCAGAAAAGCAGUUUCUAAACCCAAGGACGCUCUACUUUUGUUCCAAGAAAAGUCAGGAAGAUGGUGCCACAAGAGCCUAAUAAAGAUUUUGGGUCAACUUGUGCUCACUGCAAUUGAUUAGGAUCCAUGCGAAAUGAUUUUUAAAAGGAAAUGAACAAUAAAUACUUCGAACAGAAGAAAACUAAUCAGGGAAAAGCCUGAAGAAUCAUCUUAAGCACACUCUUGUUUAAAGUUUCACUAUCAUUUUAUUCUUGAUUGCCCAAAUUCAUUCAGCCUUAAUGCAUUGUUAAAGAGCUUGUCCUAUUAGCCAAGGAUGUUAUGGUAACUGGUUGUAAGGCUACUGCUCUCCUGGUUACAACACGUGACUAGAAAAAUGCUUUCUUAAUUAAGGCUGAGAGUGAUGAGUCCCUGGUGACUCAAAGUAGUUAAGGAGUGUGUAUAAAACUGAGCACAGGCUAGUCUCGAAGAUGAUGGCAGGCUUUACUUUGGUUCUUUAAUCUCCUCAUCCAUUUUUGUCCUGCCAGAACUGUCUACACUGAUGCCUCGCUGUGGCAUUAGUCACGGUAAGAGCCAUACGUGUUGUAAGCCUGUGCCUUUUUAUACCUGUCGAAGGGGAUUUGGUCACUGAAAUCACAAGUGAACCAUGUUAUAAGGUGUUUAACUGUGAGGCAGUUUCCCACACACAAGGAAGACGGGGACGUUUGGAAGGAAUGUGAUUUGUUUAUGUUUUCUCAUAGGUACUUCUGACGUGUCUGCUUCUGAGAAAAGCAACGUCCAUAGAUUUCAGAUAGACAGCGCAUUAUCUAGCCCUCAUUCUUUCUUUUAGCUGAAGUUCUUAUCACCUGUGUUUCAAAACCUAAUUAAGCGAUGGUUCAUUCAUAGCAGAAGGAUACUGGACAGGAACUAGGCUCUAGUCUCUUCUUUGUCACUAACUAUUUCUGUGGAUCUCGGCAAAUUAGCUUUCCAGUAGGACGCUGUUGCUUUGUCUUGUAAUAUUAACAGCUCUACUUAUUAAACACUUUCUCUGCAGUAGGGGCUUUAAUAAGCACUUUAACUAGAUUGUUUCAU